CCUCAAUAAACCAGAAUCCUGUUUUACCCUGAAGACGGAGCUUGGUCUCAUGUUUGGGGGGAUUGCUACUUUGGAGUAUUCUUUUGCCUGUUCCAGGAGAGAAGGAUUUCGGCUGAUUCUCAGUUCGGGGAAUUGGAGUGUUUGUGAGCUGCUAGUCCCGUAUCGAGGAGAGAGGUCUUUCGUAUAAUUAUCCAGUUCGGUGAAUUGAAGC
Non-coding RNA from Pelobates cultripes (western spadefoot toad), 211 nucleotides. The record is from the annotation of a GenBank genome assembly. Lineage: Eukaryota; Metazoa; Chordata; Amphibia; Anura; Pelobatidae.